Long non-coding RNA from Vicia villosa (hairy vetch), 1339 nucleotides. RefSeq lists it as uncharacterized. The record is from RefSeq and is a predicted model, not a curated record. The transcript has 2 exons. Lineage: Eukaryota; Viridiplantae; Streptophyta; Magnoliopsida; Fabales; Fabaceae.
ACAGUUAUUUUCAGUUAAUUUCAAUUAAGAGAAAAGAUUAAUACAAAGGGGAUUAGGGUUACAUGAAUGUGGCCAUUGAACUCUCAGAAACGGAAUCCUCCUUCCCUCUUCUCAGAACGGCGACGACGGUGCCAUCUCCGGUCGAAAUUCCGGCCGUGAUUCUCUGAAUUUUCCCUUCUCCCUGCUCACGCAAACACGACGGCAACGAAGAACUUUCUUUCUCCUCAUCUUCGACGACUCCAACGGCGCGGCGGAGAUUUUCUUCUCCGAUAAAAUUUCGGAGCGCCGCUAUGAACAAGAGACUCCCCUCGGCUCUAAGCUCCCAUGCUCCUUGAUUCUCAAUCUCCUUCUCACUUCUCUUUCGAGUUUUGAAUCAUCGCUAUUGAAAGAUGAUUGACGAGUGAUAAAGAUAUGAGUUCUUGGAUCGUGACCUUGAAGAAUUUCAGAGAAAGUAGUUGAAGAUGGUAGCGGGAUCGUGCGAUGAUGAGGUGAUGAAGAUCGAAGUUCAGCGCUGUAGUUUAUCAAACGCAAUUCAUUGUUGCUUACAGAUAUAGAACGAUGAUAACGUUGUGGAGCGUGUUGAAGAUUUAGGAUGGAGUGUUUGGCAGAUCGUUGUUGUAGAUGAAGCUGAUGCGAUGAUGAUGAUUAAUGGAGCGAUGUGAAGAUGAAGAAGAUUGAAUAUUCAUUAGAAUUGCAGUUGCGAUGAAGCUGAUAUAAAGACCGAGUUAACAAGGUUCUUGCUGAUUGAAGCGUGAGGAAUAUUUAUGAAUUUUCUGCGGAAUUGAAGGUUCUGAGGAAGAUGAUGAUUGCAGACGGUGAAGGUCCUGGUUGUUACGUUGUAGGUUGAAUAGAGGAUGAAGAUGAAGACUCGAGGAAAAAGAGAAUCGAUAUUUUCUGAGAGAAUCUUCAAGAGGUUGAAGAGGUGAUGAAGAUUGGAGAAGAGAGUGAAGAUUCAGCGAGAGUUUGUUAUGGAUUCCGUUUCUUUUCCUUUUUGGUUUCGGUUCUCUCUGAAUCUGUUAUACUCUUUUUUGUUAUUGCUUUUUCUUCUCCCUGAACUGUUACCGAACCGGUUCGGUUUUGUUUUGCAGCAAGUCGGUUUUUGCUUCGUCCAAGUUUCAAUUGUGCAGGUCUUCUAGCGGCAAGGGCAUGUUGGUUUGUAAUAAUGAAGUGGGAAUUUGGCAAAGUUUAGAGGGAGAGCAGCAUGAAGUUUUAGAAUCAAAGAAGGAGUUUUAGAAUUUGAUUUGUAUGGGAUUUAUCUUGUGAAUGUAUGGACCUUGUGUAUAGUUUUGUAAUGGAUAUUUGAAUUCUCUUUUUGUGUAAUGAUUUUUUUGUAACAAAA